RNAcentral lists this ribosomal RNA (566 nucleotides) under uncultured bacterium. Its description in RNAcentral is "bacterial SSU rRNA". It matches the Rfam family "Bacterial small subunit ribosomal RNA", at positions 8 to 619 of the family's 1533-position model. The record is from RNAcentral.
AGAGUUUGAUCCUGGCUCAGGAUGAACGCUGGCGGUCUGCUUAACACAUGCAAGUCGAACGGGCUCUUCGGAGCUAGUGGCGGACGGGUGAGUAACGCGUGAGAAUCUGCCUUCAGGAGGGGGAUAACGACUGGAAACGGUCGCUAAUACCCCAUAUGCCUCCGGGUGAAAAGUAAUUCGCCUGAAGAUGAGCUCGCGUCAGAUUAGCUAGUUGGUGGGGUAAGAGCCUACCAAGGCGACGAUCUGUAGCUGGUCAGAGAGGAUGAUCAGCCACACUGGGACUGAGACACGGCCCAGACUCCUACGGGAGGCAGCAGUGGGGAAUUUUCCGCAAUGGGCGCAAGCCUGACGGAGCAAGACCGCGUGGGGGAUGACGGCCUAAUGGUUGUAAACCCCUUUUCUCUGGGAAGAAGACUGACGGUACCAGAGGAAUCAGCCUCGGCUAACUCCGUGCCAGCAGCCGCGGUAAUACGGAGGAGGCAAGCGUUAUCCGGAAUUAUUGGGCGUAAAGCGUCCGUAGGUGGUUAUUCAAGUCUGCUGUCAAAGCGUGGGGGCUUAACUCCAUA